AUUGAACGCUGGCGGCAGGCCUAACACAUGCAAGUCGAACGAGUGGCGGACGGGUGAGUAAUGUCUGGGACACUGCCCGAUGGAGGGGGAUAACUACUGGAAACAGUAGCUAAUACCGCAUACCAUCCGAUGCGCCCAGAUGGGAUUAGCUAGUAGGUAGGGUAACGGCUCACCUAGGCGACGAUACCUAGCGGGUCUGAGAGGAUGACCAGCCACACUGGAACUGAGACACGGUCCAGACUCCUAGGGGAGGCAGCAGUGGGGAAUAUUGCACAAUGGGCGCAAGCCUGAUGGAGACAUGCCGCGUGUAUGAAGAAGGCCUUCGGAUUGUAAAGUACUUUCAGCGGGGGGGCGUUACUCGCAGAAGAAGCACCGGCUAACUCCGUGCCAGCAGCCGCGGUAAUAC
This 406-nucleotide ribosomal RNA is filed under the name uncultured bacterium. RNAcentral describes it as "partial 16S ribosomal RNA". It matches the Rfam family "Bacterial small subunit ribosomal RNA", at positions 30 to 526 of the family's 1533-position model. The record is from RNAcentral.